Molecule: ribosomal RNA, 1137 nt
Filed under: Flavobacterium sp.
Lineage: Bacteria; Pseudomonadati; Bacteroidota; Flavobacteriia; Flavobacteriales; Flavobacteriaceae
Description: bacterial SSU rRNA
Rfam family: Bacterial small subunit ribosomal RNA
Source: RNAcentral
GGUAUGCUUCUUCGGAAGCAGAGACCGGCGCACGGGUGCGUAACGCGUAUGCAAUCUACCUUUUACAGAGGGAUAGCCCAGAGAAAUUUGGAUUAAUACCUCAUAGCAUAGCAGUCUCGCAUGAGAUCACUAUUAAAGUCACAACGGUAAAAGAUGAGCAUGCGUCCCAUUAGCUAGUUGGUAAGGUAACGGCUUACCAAGGCUACGAUGGGUAGGGGUCCUGAGAGGGAGAUCCCCCACACUGGUACUGAGACACGGACCAGACUCCUACGGGAGGCAGCAGUGAGGAAUAUUGGACAAUGGGCGCAAGCCUGAUCCAGCCAUGCCGCGUGCAGGAUGACGGUCCUAUGGAUUGUAAACUGCUUUUAUACGAGAAGAAACACUGCUUCGUGAAGCAGCUUGACGGUAUCGUAAGAAUAAGGAUCGGCUAACUCCGUGCCAGCAGCCGCGGUAAUACGGAGGAUCCAAGCGUUAUCCGGAAUCAUUGGGUUUAAAGGGUCCGUAGGCGGUUUAAUAAGUCAGUGGUGAAAGCCCAUCGCUCAACGGUGGAACGGCCAUUGAUACUGUUAAACUUGAAUUAUUAGGAAGUAACUAGAAUAUGUAGUGUAGCGGUGAAAUGCUUAGAGAUUACAUGGAAUACCAAUUGCGAAGGCAGGUUACUACUAAUGGAUUGACGCUGAUGGACGAAAGCGUGGGUAGCGAACAGGAUUAGAUACCCUGGUAGUCCACGCCGUAAACGAUGGAUACUAGCUGUUGGAAGCAAUUUCAGUGGCUAAGCGAAAGUGAUAAGUAUCCCACCUGGGGAGUACGUUCGCAAGAAUGAAACUCAAAGGAAUUGACGGGGGCCCGCACAAGCGGUGGAGCAUGUGGUUUAAUUCGAUGAUACGCGAGGAACCUUACCAAGGCUUAAAUGUAGAUUGACCGGUUUGGAAACAGAUCUUUCGCAAGACAAUUUACAAGGUGCUGCAUGGUUGUCGUCAGCUCGUGCCGUGAGGUGUCAGGUUAAGUCCUAUAACGAGCGCAACCCCUGUUGUUAGUUGCCAGCGAGUCAUGUCGGGAACUCUAACAAGACUGCCAGUGCAAACUGUGAGGAAGGUGGGGAUGACGUCAAAUCAUCACGGCCCUUACGCCUUGGGC